This 482-nucleotide ribosomal RNA is filed under the name uncultured bacterium. RNAcentral's name for it is "bacterial SSU rRNA". It matches the Rfam family "Bacterial small subunit ribosomal RNA", at positions 30 to 507 of the family's 1533-position model. The record is from RNAcentral.
AUUGAACGCUGGCGGCAUGCCUUACACAUGCAAGUCGAACGGUAACGGGCCUUCGGGCGCCGACGAGUGGCGAACGGGUGAGUAAUGCAUCGGAACGUACCUUUCAGUGGGGGAUAACGUAGCGAAAGUUACGCUAAUACCGCAUAUUCUGUGAGCAGGAAAGCAGGGGAUCGCAAGACCUUGCGCUGAUUGAGCGGCCGAUGUCAGAUUAGCUAGUUGGUGAGGUAAAGGCUCACCAAGGCGACGAUCUGUAGCGGGUCUGAGAGGAUGAUCCGCCACACUGGAACUGAGACACGGUCCAGACUCCUACGGGAGGCAGCAGUGGGGAAUUUUGGACAAUGGGGGCAACCCUGAUCCAGCCAUGCCGCGUGAGUGAAGAAGGCCUUCGGGUUGUAAAGCUCUUUCGGCCGGGAAGAAAUCGUAUGGGCUAAUACCCUGUGCGGAUGACGGUACCGGCAUAAGAAGCACCGGCUAACUACGUG